GUGGGGAAUAUUGGACAAUGGGCGCAAGCCUGAUCCAGCAAUGCCGCGUGUGUGAAGAAGGUUUUCGGAUCGUAAAGCACUUUCGGCGGGGACGAUGAUGACGGUACCCGCAGAAGAAGCCCCGGCUAACUUCGUGCCAGCAGCCGCGGUAAUACGAAGGGGGCUAGCGUUGCUCGGAAUUACUGGGCGUAAAGGGCGCGUAGGCGGCUUGGCCAGUCAGGCGUGAAAUUCCUGGGCUCAACCUGGGGACUGCGCUUGAUACUGCUGAGCUUGAGGCCGAGAGAGGGUGGUGGAAUUCCCAGUGUAGAGGUGAAAUUCGUAGAUAUUGGGAAGAACACCGGUGGCGAAGGCGACCACCUGGCUCGGUACUGACGCUGAGGCGCGACAGCGUGGGGAGCAAACAGGAUUAGAUACCCUUGUAGUCC
Molecule: ribosomal RNA, 425 nt
Filed under: uncultured Rhodospirillales bacterium
Lineage: Bacteria; Pseudomonadati; Pseudomonadota; Alphaproteobacteria; Rhodospirillales
Description: bacterial SSU rRNA
Rfam family: Bacterial small subunit ribosomal RNA
Source: RNAcentral